CAGUAGCCGCGGGAACACGUAGGGUGCAAGCGUUAAUCGGAAUUACUGGGCGUAAAGCGUGCGCAGGCGGUUAUAUAAGACAGAUGUGAAAUCCCCGGGCUCAACCUGGGAACUGCAUUUGUGACUGUAUAGCUAGAGUACGGCAGAGGGGGAUGGAAUUCCGCGUGUAGCAGUGAAAUGCGUAGAUAUGCGGAGGAACACCGAUGGCGAAGGCAAUCCCCUGGGCCUGUACUGACGCUCAUGCACGAAAGCGUGGGGAGCAAACAGGAUUAGACCCCCGUAGUCCCUGUCUCUUAUACAC
Molecule: ribosomal RNA, 301 nt
Filed under: uncultured bacterium
Lineage: Bacteria
Description: partial 16S ribosomal RNA
Rfam family: Bacterial small subunit ribosomal RNA
Source: RNAcentral